GUUUCUGUGAAAGGAUCGCUUUGAUGAUCAAAGUGGAUUUGGUACUAAACAUUUGACUAAAUUUUUAUAUCGAUUGAUGAUGCCAGGAAAGUUGCAAGUUAACUGCUCGGCUGUUUUAAAUUUAGCGUGAAUCAUUGGGUCAUUUUACAUUUUAUAGUCAAGGAUCAGGUUUUAAAUUGACUCGCUGGUUAUAAAAACUAAUUUAUGAGCAAAGAGUACGAAAAGGUUUAUUAUUUUAUCUAGAAGUUGCACAGAAAGAGAAAAGAUUUCAAGUGAGUUUCAUGGUUUUACGAUUUUGAAGAAAAUUAAAGCAAUGUAAAAAAGACAAAAAUAUCAACGAUUUAUUUUAAUAAGUUGAAAGAACAAGUAAUUGCAUCGAAAAAUGUUGAACCAAAAAACAUGAAAAUAAAUGAGCAUGAUGUUCAACAGAAAAUCAAAGUGAAUUUACUGGGCGAAAAGAAUGGAAAAUUUUGGCAGAAAGUAAAUGAUAUCGAGUUUAUAAGUCAAUGAACCAGUUCUGAUAGGAAUCCAUGAAUGAUAAGUGAUGCGAAACAAUUUGAACAUUUUUUGCUUCUUUUCCAUUUUCUUACCUUUUCUCUUGUUUCUCAAUUUACCUUGCCAGUGAUAUUUAUUGCUAUUGAAAGUGUAAUUUGUUCAAGUUGACUACAAAAUAAAUUUUUGUGAAUAAAAAUUUCAUCAAAAAAUGGUCACAAUCAGUCAUGAAACUGGGAACCUGGAAAAUGUAGAGAAUCAAGUGAGCUCAAUUGGCCAGGAUAACUGAGAUCUAAUAUUGAAUCACCUUGAAUUGUGAAUAACUUGUUUAAUGUUAUUUUGUUUUUCCUUCAAUCUUCAAGUUUAUCCAAUUUCAAAACAAUAUUAUCUCAAAUGAUCUGUUCAUUUUGUUUGCAGUAAAAAACCACCAGAAAAAAAAUUCCUUUUCCUUUGAUUCUGAAUACAUUUUGGUUGCAUUUUCUAUCGCAUUUCAUAGCAUCAACAACCAUUUCAUGAUAAUAUCGACUUCGAUGGAAUUUUUAUUCACUGAAUAACCAGUUUUUGCUUUUUUUAUUUUUUACCUUUUUCUCUAUUCUUGGAUUUCUGGUAUUAUUGGGUAAAAUUUUUAUUUCAUUUUUUCUUUAUUCUGUCUUAGAAUUUAUAUCAUUACAUGACAAAUUCAGUAGUCGAUAACAAUGCAUAUAGUCAGGAUAGUUUCAUUGGAUGUAAUGAUAAAGAGAGACAACAAUGUAUAAUGUAACCAGGUUACAGUCGUACAUUUAUCUGUACAUAAAGUGUUCAUUUUAUGAGCAAAAAAUACUGAUUCAACAAAAGAUUCAUCUUUCAUAAGCAUUUCCAUCAAUUCUUCUGGCUAAGAAUCGAUCACAAAAGGAUUUCUCUGGAAUUCAAUUUGACCAAAAAAAGAUGCAAAAAUUUCGAUCGUAAAAAACUUUAAUUAUGUAAAUGGAGUGCACUUUUAUGCGUCUACCGAUUUACCAAGUUUUAACUCUUAGCAAACAGUCUCUCAUUGAACACCUUACAAUGAUUGAUUAUGUAGCCAACUAGUCAGUUACAGAUAUUAAGAUCAGUUCAACUCUACAGAUUUGUGUCACUUUGAACAAACUGAACAAUUUUUAGCUGAUUGUCGUGUUCAAAAUAAACAAAUAACUGUUGAACUUGCAACGAAUGAAUCAAAACAAAUAAAAGUAAAAGUAUAUUGGAAUCAAAAGAUAAAAAAUAUCACGAUUUCUAGUUAGCAGCUUACAAAGUCAAUUUGUUGAAAUUUGUAAAUCAAUUAUUUUUAGUUUAAUUAGAACGCUUGUUUUAUUAGGUUGUGUAAGUCAAUCAUGUAACUGUGGUUUUUCAAAACAUUUACCACCGCCUGAAAUUGAGCUUUUUGCCAGAGAACAGAGCUAUAAUAUAUAGCUCCAUUCAAAACGGCACAUGACGAAGCCUUGACUUGUGGACAAUUGAUUGUAUCUCGAGGAUUCAAAUAUGAACGUCACUUCGUAACAACAGAGGAUGGUUAUAUACUUACAUUGUAUCGAAUAAUCAAUCCAAAUGCUCAAGCAGCUCGAGGAUCGAAACUCAUUCCUGUUUUAUUAGUCCAUGGAAUUUUUACUUCAUGUAGUAGUUGGAUGAUCAAUGGAUUUGAUGGAUUCAUAGAGCCAUGGGUCGACGGAAAGCCACCCAAUGUCACGUCAAAAAAUCUUGCCUUUGUUCUGUAAUGAUGAGUUUGAUGUUUGGAUAGCAAAUAACAGAGGAACUGCGUACUCAAGGAACCACACUCGACUUGACCCUGAUACAGGUAAUGAAUUCCCUUGUGAAAUAUAUUUGACUAACACAAGUACAUAUCGAAUAGAUCCAGAGUUUUGGGACUUUACCUUUUCCGAGAUGGGUGAAUAUGAUGCACCAGCGAUGGUUGAUUAUAUUAUUGAAGAGACUGGGCAUGAAAAAAUUGUAUGGAUUGGCUAUUCAGAAGGAACUACACAAAAUUUUAUUCAAUUAGCAAUGAAUCCAGCUGCUGCUGAUAAAUUUUACCUGAACAUUAACAUAGAGCCAGGAGCCUUUUACGGAGAAUCUAAAGGUCUAUUAACUGUUAUCCCUCGAAACAGACUCGUUUUUGGAACUUUAGACGACUAUGUUGGCCCGUUUUCACCGUCUUUACCUGAAUUCGAUGCUUUGCUUACCAUAGCCACCAUACCAUGUACCAUUGAAGUGAUAAAACCAAUUUGUAUUGAAAUUUACCUUUUUGGAGUAGAUCGACGAAUGAUUGAUAAGAAGCUAUUCCAAGUUUUAACAAGCCAAAUUGAUACAACUUCAACCAAAAAUCUUAUUCAUUAUCUGCAAUCAGUGAAAUAUGAUCAAGUAAGUAAAUACGAUUAUGGUCCAGAGAUGAAUCAAGAAAUGUAUAGUUCAGAUGAGCUACCCAAGUACCCAUUUGAAAAUGUACCAACAUGUAAUUUAGUUCUGAUUGGUGGAUUGAAUGACUAUUUUUCCGAUGAAAAGGACUUUCAAAAGCUGAGAAACAUCUUGAGGAAAGGAAACUCAACAAACUUUUGUCCUUGCAAGUUGCAACUCCAGCAACAGACCCUUUAUUGAUCACGUUAUCACCUAUCCUGACUGGUCACACACUGACAUUAUCUUUGGUAACCAUGCAUAUGAAUAUGCACAUUCGGUGAUUGUUGAUAUACUUCGCGAAAAUUUACCCUGAAAAUACAAUUAUUAACACUCAUUGAAAUCAUUGAGAUCAUUGAAAUAUAACAAGUCGAGGAAUCCGAUUGUAAAUAGAUUUACUUCAAAGUGUAUUUAAGGAUACAAAAUUUCAUUUCAAUGGCUCAUCUUUUCCGAUGCCAAUUUAAGAUUGAAAUAAAUGUUUUUUCAAACACAAAUAAAUGGACAUUUGAACUUUAUUUGAUGAGAUGAACGGGUGUUUAAAAUAUUCAAUUGUUACUUGCAAUGAAAAUGUUUAUUUGAAUUUAUUGAAAUGAAAUUGCAAUAGCAGAACAAAUCUGCCAUCUGUUGUCAUAAUUUUGAAACUUUGACUGGAGACCUCGUCAUUAUUAGGUAACUAUGGAAAUCAUUUCUGUGCCUGAUGACAAUUUGUUUUUGAUUGUUAACAAAUUGUCGAUUAAUCAGUUAUUGUUUGAUUCAUUGAGAUGAUAACAUUUUAAGUCAUCUGUCAAUCUGGAAACGCCUUUCCUCUUCUGUUUCCCUUUUUCUAGUGUAAUUUUGUUAGGUUCAGUUUGAAUUUUGUCGUUGUUAACGGUUAAUUUGUUACAGUAUUUGAUAUUUAUUUGUAUUUUCAAAG
Tetranychus urticae (two-spotted spider mite) is the source of this 3802-nucleotide non-coding RNA. The record is from RefSeq and is a predicted model, not a curated record. Lineage: Eukaryota; Metazoa; Arthropoda; Arachnida; Trombidiformes; Tetranychidae.